GUGCUUGCUUUGGCAGCAUAUGUACUAAAAUUGGAACAACACAGAGACGAUUAGCAUGGCCCCUGUGAAAGGAUGAUGCACAAAUUCAUGAAGCAUUCAAUAUUGUU
Peromyscus eremicus (cactus mouse) is the source of this 107-nucleotide small nuclear RNA. The record is from RefSeq and is a predicted model, not a curated record. Lineage: Eukaryota; Metazoa; Chordata; Mammalia; Rodentia; Cricetidae.